RNAcentral lists this ribosomal RNA (253 nucleotides) under uncultured bacterium. Its description in RNAcentral is "partial 16S ribosomal RNA". It matches the Rfam family "Bacterial small subunit ribosomal RNA", at positions 524 to 776 of the family's 1533-position model. The record is from RNAcentral.
UACGUAGGGUGCAGGCGUUAAUCGGAAUUACUGGGCGUAAAGCGUGCGCAGGCGGUUUGCUAAGACAGGUGUGAAAUCCCCGGGCUUAUCCUGGGAACUGCGCUUGUAACUGGCAAGCUAGAGUGUGGCAGAGGGGGGUGGAAUUCCACGUGUAGCAGUGAAAUGCGUAGAGAUGUGGAGGAACACCGAUGGCGAAGGCAGCCCCCUGGGCUAACACUGACGCUCAUGCACGAAAGCGUGGGGAGCAAACAGG